Symphalangus syndactylus (siamang) is the source of this 560-nucleotide long non-coding RNA. RefSeq lists it as uncharacterized. The record is from RefSeq and is a predicted model, not a curated record. Lineage: Eukaryota; Metazoa; Chordata; Mammalia; Primates; Hylobatidae.
GAGAGAGAGCUGCUGGUGUGCUGGGUUUUAUAUCCCUUGGGCCUACGUGGGGCGGGCCCAAGGGAAGGCGGGAGAUGCUUCUUUCUGAUUGGCCCUCCUUUGGCGGGUUCAGACAGUGCCUGGUCAAGGAGGGGAGAAGAACCCGGAACCGGCGCCAUUAAGGGACAACUUAAAGGGGAACAAGAAUGAAUCCCUGCAUCCCCCACAGCUCGUCUGGCUCUGAGGGACUUGGAGAGCCCAAGUUUGUCUUGGACCAGUUUGAUGAGCUACCAGACAGGAGAGACACAUUUGCUGCCUCCCAAUGCUCGGAGACCAUUGCGCAGGAAGCAGCAGGAUGCUGGGGCCGGCUUGCCCAGUGAUGACCUGAACCGGGGGCCACAAGGAACCAAGAGCUGCCGGAAGACAAAAGAGCUCAGAGGGUUGGAGGCCAGGGGAACACUGAGGUGUGGGAGUAGGAAGACAACUCCACCCCACCACCACUAAAUACAGAAACACAUGACCCUUAAGAAGAAUGGGAAAGCUGCCAUUUAGGUUACAGCAUAAAUUCCUUCAUUACUGAG